Molecule: ribosomal RNA, 493 nt
Filed under: uncultured bacterium
Lineage: Bacteria
Description: bacterial SSU rRNA
Rfam family: Bacterial small subunit ribosomal RNA
Source: RNAcentral
UCAACGCUGGCGGCGUGCCUAACACAUGCAAGUCGAGCGCGAAAGUGGGCUUCGGCUCACGAGUAGAGCGGCGAACGGGUGAGUAACGCGUGGGUGAUCUGCCUCCGAGUGGGGAAUAACACUGGGAAACUGGUGCUAAUACCGCAUGACAUCCUCGGUUCGUUCCGAGGAUCAAAGCUGGGGACCGCAAGGCCUGGCGCUUGGAGAGGAGCCCGCGUCCGAUUAGCUUGUUGGCGGGGUAAUGGCCCACCAAGGCUUCGAUCGGUAGCCGGCCUGAGAGGGCGGACGGCCACACUGGGACUGAGACACGGCCCAGACUCCUACGGGAGGCAGCAGUGGGGAAUUUUUCGCAAUGGGGGAAACCCUGACGAAGCAACGCCGCGUGGAGGAUGAAGGCCCUCGGGUCGUAAACUCCUGUCGAUCGGGAAGAAUGCACUCGGCCGAAUACGCCGUUGUGUUGACUGUACCGGUGGAGGAAGCCACGGCUAACUCU